UACAGAGGGUGCGAGCGUUAAUCGGAAUUACUGGGCGUAAAGCGUGCGCAGAUGGUUACGUAAGUCGGGUGUGAAAGCCCCGGGCUCAACCUGGGAAUUGCAUUCGAGACUGCGUAGCUAGGGUGCGGAAGAGGGAAGCGGAAUUUCCGGUGUAGCGGUGAAAUGCGCAGAUAUCAGGAAGAACACCUAUGGCGAAGGCAGCUCUCUGGGACGGUACUGACGCUGAGACGCGAAAGCGUGGGGAGCGAACAGG
Molecule: ribosomal RNA, 253 nt
Filed under: uncultured bacterium
Lineage: Bacteria
Description: partial 16S ribosomal RNA
Rfam family: Bacterial small subunit ribosomal RNA
Source: RNAcentral